UACGUAGGGUCCGAGCGUUGUCCGGAAUUACUGGGCGUAAAGAGCUCGUAGGUGGUUUGUCGCGUUGUUCGUGAAAACUCACAGCUCAACUGUGGGCGUGCGGGCGAUACGGGCAGACUUGAGUACUGCAGGGGAGACUGGAAUUCCUGGUGUAGCGGUGGAAUGCGCAGAUAUCGGGAGGAACACCAGUGGCGCAGGCGGCGUCCUGGACCGGCACUGACGCUGAGGAGCGAAAGCGUGGGGAGCGAUCCGG
This 253-nucleotide ribosomal RNA is filed under the name uncultured bacterium. RNAcentral describes it as "partial 16S ribosomal RNA". It matches the Rfam family "Bacterial small subunit ribosomal RNA", at positions 524 to 776 of the family's 1533-position model. The record is from RNAcentral.